GUUUCGAUGGUCUAGUUGGUUAUGAUUUCUGUCUAACACACAGAAGGUCCCAAGUUCGAACCUUGGUCGAAACA
Molecule: non-coding RNA, 74 nt
Organism: Schizopora paradoxa
Lineage: Eukaryota; Fungi; Basidiomycota; Agaricomycetes; Hymenochaetales; Schizoporaceae
Source: Rfam